This 337-nucleotide unclassified non-coding RNA is filed under the name uncultured fungus. Its description in RNAcentral is "partial contains small subunit ribosomal RNA, internal transcribed spacer 1, and 5.8S ribosomal RNA". The stretch from base 1 to 73 matches the Rfam family "Eukaryotic small subunit ribosomal RNA", at positions 1759 to 1831 of the family's 1831-position model. The record is from RNAcentral. Lineage: Eukaryota; Fungi.
UCAAACUUGGUCAUUUAGAGGAAGUAAAAGUCGUAACAAGGUCUCCGUUGGUGAACCAGCGGAGGGAUCAUUAGCGAGUUAACAAAACUCCAAACCCAUGUGAACAUACCUUCUGUUGCCUCGGCAGGUCGUGCUGCGCGGCCGGACCGCUACCCUGGAGCAGCUACCCUGAAGUAGCUACCCUGGAGUUGGCGGCACCUACCCUGCAGCACACAACCAGGCCUGCCGGAGUGCUCCUAAACUCUGUUUUACACCUGUAUCUCUGAGUCUAUUAUACAAAUAAGUUAAAACUUUCAACAACGGAUCUCUUGGUUCUGGCAUCGAUGAAGAACGCAGC